AACGGCCAUACCAUGCUGAAUAUACCGGUUCUCGUUAGAUCUCCGAAGUCAAGCUUCAUUGGGCGCGGUCAGUACUUGGGUGGGUGACCACAUAAGAACCCCGCGUGCCGUCG
RNAcentral lists this ribosomal RNA (113 nucleotides) under Caerostris darwini. Lineage: Eukaryota; Metazoa; Arthropoda; Arachnida; Araneae; Araneidae. The record is from RNAcentral.